CAGGCGCUGGUGAGCGAGGCGCUGGGCCGGCCCGGCAUGCCUGCCGGCGAUGCUGUGGCGGAGUUGAUCGCGCGGCUCGGCCUGCCGCGGCGCCUGC
RNAcentral lists this transfer RNA (97 nucleotides) under Caldovatus sediminis. RNAcentral describes it as "tRNA-Ala". Lineage: Bacteria; Pseudomonadati; Pseudomonadota; Alphaproteobacteria; Acetobacterales; Roseomonadaceae. The record is from RNAcentral.